Molecule: non-coding RNA, 85 nt
Organism: Vicugna pacos (alpaca)
Lineage: Eukaryota; Metazoa; Chordata; Mammalia; Artiodactyla; Camelidae
Source: RefSeq, a predicted model, not a curated record
UUUUUUUCUCACACUUUACAGCGCCUUCUCUCAGGAAUUCACACGGGGAGAUCGUGCAACCAGCGACCUGUAAACAGACGGAAGA